CACAGCCCCCCCUCCCAGCUUCCGAGCGCAAGGCCCCGCUCCCCGCCGCGGCAUCCCUCCUCACCAGCGGGGGCUGCCCUAGAGAAACGCAGCAGCGCUCUCUGGGGUCAGACAGGCUGCUUCCCGUCCCCGGGGAGAGAGUCCUGUCUCCCGGCCUCUGGAUGGUCGAGCGGUCUGUGCUGCAGAGGAGGAGGAAGACCGGGUGCAGCAGCAGCCGACAAGACCGCCGUCUUCUCACCAGCUUUAGGAGCUCCAAGAGCGAAUCUACCCCCUCUAAAAUACACACGCAGGCAAGAUAUUUGCAAUCAAGCUGCCACCAUUUGGCAAAGAGCUGUAUGCCGUGCACAAUCUAAGGGGAUCAGGAGCCUCAUCCUCGAAUCAUCUUGUUACUUCCUGCUGAAAUGGAUUUUCCCCACCUUCUUUUUCCUCCUUACACUGCGCUGGAAAUUGCCGAAGGCUUUUCAUCUUUAUAGACGCUAAGGAGUCUUUCGUGAAAACGAAGCGAUUUACAAUGCAAAUAGGGGCCUGUAAAGGAAUGGAUGCUCCUCUCUCUUAACGCAGCUUACGCAACUUAAUGGCUGGUUUUAUUUUCUGGUAUUAACAGACGAAUUGUUGGCUACCCCUGCCGGAAAUUACUGGCUGAAACAAAAAGUUAGGAAUAAACUUUGAAGGCAAGGGAUAGUUUUGUAGCUG
Molecule: long non-coding RNA, 693 nt
Filed under: Lonchura striata (white-rumped munia)
Lineage: Eukaryota; Metazoa; Chordata; Aves; Passeriformes; Estrildidae
Description: domestica (Bengalese finch) lncRNA (ENSLSDG00000017146.1)
Source: RNAcentral